This 206-nucleotide long non-coding RNA is filed under the name Volvox carteri. Its description in RNAcentral is "long non-coding RNA (VCAR_LNC002192)". The record is from RNAcentral. Lineage: Eukaryota; Viridiplantae; Chlorophyta; Chlorophyceae; Chlamydomonadales; Volvocaceae.
CGAAGGCCCAAGGGCAAUACUACAACGCCUAAAAGCCACGGAGAAAAGAAAAAACACCGCACAUCAGCCCAGACUAGCGUCCAAAGGGGGUAAUUGAGUUUCGGUGAGCCCACAUACGUUCCAACAUCCUCGCCAGGCGUGCGGGUUCCCAUUGCAUGGCCUCCAACAUACUCUGUUGAUGAUCGAAUCCCUCUUCAGCACGAAUA